CCUACGGGGAGCAGCAGUGAGGAAUAUUGGUCAAUGGACGAGAGUCUGAACCAGCCAAGUAGCGUGAAGGAUGACUGCCCUAUGGGUUGUAAACUUCUUUUAUAUGGGAAUAAAACGUUCCACGUGUGGGAUUUUGUAUGUACCAUAUGAAUAAGGAUCGGCUAACUCCGUGCCAGCAGCCGCGGUAAUACGGAGGAUCCGAGCGUUAUCCGGAUUUAUUGGGUUUAAAGGGAGCGUAGGUGGAUUGUUAAGUCAGUUGUGAAAGUUUGCGGCUCAACCGUAAAAUUGCAGUUGAAACUGGCAGUCUUGAGUACAGUAGAGGUGGGCGGAAUUCGUGGUGUAGCGGUGAAAUGCUUAGAUAUCACGAAGAACUCCGAUUGCGAAGGCAGUUCACUGGACUGCAACUGACACUGAGGCUCGAAAGUGUGGGUAUCAAACAGGAUUAGAUACCCCGGAAGUC
Molecule: ribosomal RNA, 460 nt
Filed under: uncultured bacterium
Lineage: Bacteria
Description: partial 16S ribosomal RNA
Rfam family: Bacterial small subunit ribosomal RNA
Source: RNAcentral